CGCACGUAUGACUGUAAAUCGCUUUGGAUAAAAGCGUCUGUUAAAUGGCAUAGA
Non-coding RNA from Salmo salar (Atlantic salmon), 54 nucleotides. The record is from Rfam. Lineage: Eukaryota; Metazoa; Chordata; Actinopteri; Salmoniformes; Salmonidae.